GCCGAGACUAGAGUCACAUCCUGACACCUUGCUUGUCCUGGUGUGCUAGAGUUCUCGGAGAGAAUACGCUGAUCUAGAUUCACUGGCGGAGGCAACCAGUGCCUCCGUUAGUGCCCAGGUCAGAAACAUGC
This is a small nucleolar RNA of Sorex araneus (European shrew), 131 nucleotides long. NCBI's taxonomy places the organism in Eukaryota, Metazoa, Chordata, Mammalia, Eulipotyphla, Soricidae. The record is from Ensembl.